UACAGAGGUGCCGAGCGUUAGGCGGAAUCACUGGGCUUAAAGCGUGUGUAGGCGGACCGUUAAGUGCCUCGUGAAAUCCCCCGGCUCAACCGGGGAACGGCCGGGCAUACUGGCGGUCUUGAGCGGCCUAGGGGCAGAUGGAACAGGCGGUGGAGCGGUGAAAUGCGUAGAGAUGUGGAGGAACACCGAUGGCGAAGGCAGCCUCCUGGGCCGACACUGACGCUCAUGCACGAAAGCGAGGGGAGCAAACAGG
RNAcentral lists this ribosomal RNA (253 nucleotides) under uncultured bacterium. Its description in RNAcentral is "partial 16S ribosomal RNA". It matches the Rfam family "Bacterial small subunit ribosomal RNA", at positions 524 to 776 of the family's 1533-position model. The record is from RNAcentral.